UCUUACGGAAGGCAGCAGUGGGAAUAUUGGGCAAUGGGCGCAAGCUUGAUCCAGCCAUGCCGCGUGAGUGAUGAAGGCCCUAGGGUUGUAAAGCUCUUUCGCCAGGGACGAUAAUGGCGGUACCUGGAUAAGAAGCCCCGGCUAACUUCGGUGCCAGCAGCCGCGGUAAUACGAAGGGGGCUAGCGUUGUUCGGAAUCACUGGGCGUAAAGCGCACGUAGGCGGAUUGUUAAGUCAGGGGUGAAAUCCCGAGGCUCAACCUCGGAACUGCCUUUGAUACUGGCGAUCUAGAGUCCGGGAGAGGUGAGUGGAACUGCGAGUGUAGAGGUGAAAUUCGUAGAUAUUCGCAAGGACACCAGUGGCGAGGGCGGCUCACUGGCCCGGAACUGACGCUGAGGUGCG
RNAcentral lists this ribosomal RNA (401 nucleotides) under methanotroph M11. RNAcentral describes it as "bacterial SSU rRNA". It matches the Rfam family "Bacterial small subunit ribosomal RNA", at positions 337 to 755 of the family's 1533-position model. Lineage: Bacteria; Pseudomonadati; Pseudomonadota; Alphaproteobacteria; Hyphomicrobiales; Methylocystaceae. The record is from RNAcentral.